CUUCUUGAGAAAAUAAGAGAAAAUCCAAUUUUUUCAACAAACUUUCUCAGAAUUCAGAGAGCGGUCUCAAAGUCAAACGGGUCCAAACGCUCCUGUGGACCAAUUUCUCUCGAGAAUUUUUGGCAUUUGGGGUGGAUUGUGUGGGGAGGGACAUCCUUUGCGAGCUAGCGGUGGACCCAGUGUAACGCUCGGAUACAGUCUGAUAUCUAAUAUUUUUCAACGAAAAGAUCGGCUUUCUUACACCGAUAAGCCCCUGUACUUAUAAUCUCGAAUGCAUCGCCACUGUUGUGUACCAACCCCUUCUCCAGUCUCCUCCUUACCUCUAAUUUUAUAUGAUUGUAACCAGUCGGAUAGUUAUACAGAAAGACACUGAGAAUAUCCUUGGAAGCUGAAUUUUGUGUUUAUAAAAAGGUUCUGGUGCGGUGGAUAGAUGUCUACUCUCAAUAAAGAGCUUGUCUUUUUAAUUUUACAGUUCCUCAAUGAGGAAGGUUUCAAAGGAGCUGCUCACAUGCUUGAGAAUGAAACUGGGUUUUACUUCAACAUGGAAUUUUUUGGGGAGUUGAUACUUAGUGGGAGUUGGGAUGAGGCUGAGAGGUAUCUUGCUGGUUUCACUAAGUUAGAUGACAAUAGAUGCUCGACCAAGAUCUUUUUUGAGAUCAGGAAGCAGAAGUUCCUUGAGGCGUUGGACAAGAAUGAACGUGCCAAGGCUUUAGAUAUCCUUAUGAAGGAUUUGAAAGUUUUUGCACCAAAUAACGAGGCCCUCUUCAUGGAAAUGACUCAGCUUUUGACAUUAAACGAUAUAAGGGAACAUGACUCACUCUCCAUGUAUGGAGAUACAGAGUCUGCAAGGCAAAUCUUGAUGCUUGAAGUUAAGAAAAUUAUAGAGGCAAACCCCCUUUUCCAUGACAAAUUGAAAUUUCCCAGCAUUAGAAGUCAGAGAUUACGCCGUCUCAUAAAUCAGGGUCUGAAUUGGCAGCAUAUACAUUGUACACUUCCUCAACCAAAUCCCAAUAUAAGUACCCUUUUUGUGGAUCAUGUUUGUCUACCACCAGAGGAUCAGUUACUUUCAACAUCAAUUGAUAACAAUCUAUUGGCCACAUCAAUGCCAGCACCAAUAUCCCCAGCCAGUUCUAUAUCUACACCAUCAACCGUGUCUCAUUCUGAAAUUUCUAGCGGAGCCAUCUGUCUUGGUGGUUCAACAAACCUAGAUGGUUUGAAGAACACUAAUGGAGUAUCUGAAAUUUUUCCUUCAGAGACCUCUAAUAAGGAAACAUCAGCUGUCACACAUCCUGGUGAAAGCUUUUUCAACAUUGACAAUGAUUUCUCGACUGUCAUUCAUCCUGAUCAAAGUAUUUUCAAAAUUCCUGAUGACUUGCCCAAGAGUCCUCAGAAGAACAAUACAUUUGAAAGCUGCAGACAGAUAAACAAUACUGACUUGCCCAAGACUGUUGCAAGGAUAUUGAAUGAGGGGUCAUCUCCAACGAGCAUGGAUUUUCAUCCUGUUAAACAAACUAUUCUUCUAGGUUUACACAAAAGGAUUAUUUCAGUACUCUUCGAUGCAUUUUAGGAUAAAUAGCUUAUUUGAACCUGAUGUUUACUUGUGGAAUUUGAUGGCUUGAUGCUUCAGUUGGAACUAAUAUGGGAGAUAUAGGAUUGUGGGAAGUUAGUUCUGGGGAAAAGUUGCUGUCAAGGAAUUUUAAGUUUUGGGAUAUUGGAGCAUGCUCAAUGAAAUUCAAGGUUUGUCCCCACUCAUGUGAUCAUGUUUUAUAUUAGCUGGAAACACAAUUAUACGAGUGAAAUCUGAAUCAAUCUGACAUAUAAGCAGGCAGCUCUUCUUAAGGAUCCAUGUGUUUCUGUUAAUUGUAUUGCAUGGAGCCCUGAGGGUUCUUUAUUUGGUAAGUUGAAAGAUAUUAAAACACUCAGGUGGAAACAAUAGCCAGUUACUUUGGAUUUUCGUGAUCCUAUCUUGUCUGCCCUUCCUAAACCAGGUGCUGCGUAUUCGAAACACAUGGUGCAAAUAUAUUCUUAUGUUGGUGCGAAUGAUGUCCAGCAUCAAAUGGAGAUCGAUGCUCAUGUUGGUGGUGUAAAUGACUUAGCAUUCUCUGCCCCUGAGAAAAAACUUUUGGUCAUAACUUGCGGUGAUGAUAAGAUGAUUAAGGUAUGGGAUGUCACUACUGGUGUCAGAAUGUAUAGUUUUGAAGGUCAUGAUGCUGCUAUUUAUUCUAUCUGCCCUCAUAGCAAGGAAGGCAUUCAUUUUAUCUUUUCAACAUCAGUGGAUGGCAAUAUAAAAGCAUGGCUAUAUGAUAACAUGGGAGCCAGAGUUGAUUAUGAUGCUCCUGGUCUGGGGUGUACAUCAAUGGCAUAUAGUGCUGAUGAUAAAAGGCUUUUCUCAUGUGGGACCAGUAAAUGUGGGGAGUCAUUUCUUGUUGAAUGGAAUGAAAGUGAAGGUGCAAUAAAGAGAAUCUACCAUGGAUUGCAGAAGAAUUCUUUGGCUGUAGUACAGUUUGAUAUAAUGAAGAAUCAAUUCUUGGCUGCUGGUGAUGAGCAUGUAAUUAAAAUUUGGGAUGUGGACAAUGUUGAUCUUUUCUCGACUAUUGAUGCAGAUGGUGGAUUACCUGCAAAUCCACGUAUUCGGUUCAACAAAGAUGGCACAUUGUUGGCUGUUUUUGCUAAUGAAAACAGAAUUAAGAUUUUGGCUACUGAUUGUGGUCUUCAGUUGCUGCACAAAUCUGAAAACUGCUCAGUUGAUGACUCUAGAGUUCUUUCUGAUACUUUUAGGAAGCUUGCAAUUAACCCAGCUUCAACUGUUACUUGUGCCGGAGUUGCUGAUGAAGCACUGGAGAAUGGGGACUCAAAAAGUUUGGAGGCUGUGAAAUAUGAAUUUACUGGGAAAGCUGAUCAGAAACUCUUUGAAAUGAACAAGUGUUCUCAGUGCCAGACCUUGCGGCUUCCUUCAUAUGUAAAUGCUAACAAGAUAUCAAAAUUGGCUUACAACAAUGCAGGUAAUGCCAUUUUGGCAUUGGCAUCAAAUGGUAUUCAUCUAUUUUGGAAAUGGCAACUUAAUGACCUUAAUAUGAGUGGCAAGGCAACUACAGAAGUUCUCCCUCAACAAUGGCAACCAAAGAGUGGCCCAAGGCUGAUGACAAAUGACCUUACAGACACAAAGUAUGGAGAAACCCUUUCUUGUUUUGCUUUGUCCAAGAAUGAUUCAUAUCUCAUGUCAUCAUCAGGAGGGAAGAUAUCCCUGUUCAACAUGGUGACAUUCAAGACAAUGCUGUGUAUCAGGCCUGCACCACCUGCAACAACUAGUCUUGCUUUUCUCCCUCAAGAUAACAACAUAGUUGCUAUAGGGAGGGACGACUCCACAAUUUUAAUAUAUAAUGUUCGUCUAGCUAAGGUUAUCAGUAAGCUUGAGGGUCAUUCCAAGAGAGUAUCUAGCCUUGCCUUUUCUAAAGCCCUGAAUUUGCUUGUUUCUUCUGGAGCAGAUUCUCAGAUUUUGGUGUGGAACGUUAAAGGGUGGGAAAAACACAGAAGCGGAUUCUUACAGAUUCCUGACGAGAAAAAGCAUGAAGCAUUAUUGGACACCCAUGUCCAGUUUCAUCAGGAUCAAACACGCUUCCUUGUUGUACAUGAGAGUUGUCUCUCAAUUUAUGAAGCCAGAGAUUUAGAAUGUUUAAAGCGGUGGGUUCGAGGAGAUCUUGUGCCAAUCUCCCAAGCAACUUUCUCAUGUGAUAGCCAAAUGGUGUAUGCCACCUUUGUGGAUGGAAGUGUAUCUAUAUUUGAUGCUUCACGUCUUGAACUACAUUGUCGGAUUACUUCCACUGCUUACCUUCCAUUUAGUUCAUGUGAUGAUGGUUAUCCGCUAGUUAUUGCUGCACAUCCACAGAAACCAAACCAAUUUGCAGUGGGGCUAUCAAAUGGUGGGGUGAUUGUAUUUGAGCCUCUAAAUCCUGCUGGCAAGUGGAGUACGUUGCCACCAUAUGAAGAUGGGUCAGAAGGUGCCAUGCCUGUCGAAUCUGAUGUUGACUAAUCAAAGUUCCUCGCAAUCUGAUUUCAACGAUUUCAGAGUUUGAUCAAACCAAGCUUUUUACAUAGAAAUGACGAAUUGGACAAAAGUCCCUUGGCUGGAAUAUAUAUGCCCCAUAUAUAAAUCAACAUAUUUAUGUGCUUGUGCUUCCUAUAUGGUUUUUGGGUGGCAUAGACCACACUACAGUUGCUAAUAAGAGCCACAUCCUCGUUACCAGAAUUUCCUUUCAUCAUUUGCAAACAUAACGACCCCCCCCUUUCCUUUCUUUCUUUCUUUCGUUCCCUUUUCUCUAAUUUAAGAAAAGAGGCAGAAAAGUAACAAAAUUUACUAUGCUGUCGAUUCUGGCUUAUCUAAUAUUUGGGGGUUUGCUGUAUGAAAAGCUCAUGUUACAUCAACUCUGUAGUUGAAACCUGGAAAGAGCCAAUCUCAUCAAUUGUGAGAAUCACAGAAAUAUGAUAUAGUUAUUUGUGUUAGAACUUUCUAUGGAUUCAUUGCAAGGGCCAUUCUGAUUCUAUGCGGCCAUGACUCGAAAGAUAUUAGCUCUUGUAGUUGUAGUGGACUGAGUGUGAGAGUGUCUGUUCGCUUCCCUCUCUUUUUCUCUCCUCUUCUCAAUUUAUUUCAUGCUUGAGUAGUUAGAACGUAGCCUAGUAGGCCACGCAAGGCUCGGAAGGUCUGAGAGCCCACUGCACUAAGCAUUCACUUGGUUUUAUAUUUGUCCUUCGUGACUGUGCCAUGCUUUUCUAGCGUCCCAGCUAAAAUUUCUCCCAAAUAUGAUGAUGAUGAUGAUCAC
This 4817-nucleotide unclassified non-coding RNA is filed under the name Hevea brasiliensis (rubber tree). The record is from RNAcentral. Lineage: Eukaryota; Viridiplantae; Streptophyta; Magnoliopsida; Malpighiales; Euphorbiaceae.